RNAcentral lists this ribosomal RNA (468 nucleotides) under uncultured bacterium. RNAcentral describes it as "partial 16S ribosomal RNA". It matches the Rfam family "Bacterial small subunit ribosomal RNA", at positions 27 to 507 of the family's 1533-position model. The record is from RNAcentral.
GGAUGAACGCUGACAGAAUGCUUAACACAUGCAAGUCAACUUGAAUUUGGGUUUUUAACUUCGGUUUGGGUGGCGGACGGGUGAGUAACGCGUAAAGAACUUGCCUCACAGCUAGGGACAACAUUUGGAAACGAAUGCUAAUACCUAAUAUUAUGAUAAUAGGGCAUCCUAUAAUUAUGAAAGCUAUAAGCGCUGUGAGAGAGCUUUGCGUCCCAUUAGCUAGUUGGAGAGGUAACGGCUCACCAAGGCGAUGAUGGGUAGCCGGCCUGAGAGGGUGAUCGGCCACAAGGGGACUGAGACACGGCCCUUACUCCUACGGGAGGCAGCAGUGGGGAAUAUUGGACAAUGGACCGAGAGUCUGAUCCAGCAAUUCUGUGUGCACGAUGAAGUUUUUCGGAAUGUAAAGUGCUUUCAGUUGGGAAGAAACAAAUGACGGUACCAACAGAAGAAGUGACGGCUAAAUACGUG